CCAGCAGCUGCUGUAAUUCCAGCUCCAGUAGCGUAUAUUAAAGUUGUUGCAGUUAAAAAGCUCGUAGUUGGAUUUCUGGCUGACCGGGUACAGUCCGUCGUCCUCAGGGCGAUGUGUACUGUCUUGCGUUUGCCAUCCUUCCAGGGAGCCGUGCCUACCGUUCGCGGCAGGGCGCGUGCGAUCUGGAUCUUUUACUUUGAAAAAAUUAGAGUGUUCCAAGCAAGCUUACGCUUUGAAUACAUUAGCAUGGAAUAAUAAUAUAGGACUUCUGUUCUAUUUUGUUGGUUUCUAGGACCGAAGUAAUGAUUGAUAGGGAUAGUUGGGCGUGCUAGUACUAAGCGGCCAGAGGUGAAAUUCUUGGAUUUGCUCAAGACUAACAACUGCGAAAGCAUUUGCCAAGGAUGUUUUCA
RNAcentral lists this ribosomal RNA (410 nucleotides) under uncultured eukaryote. RNAcentral's name for it is "SSU rRNA". It matches the Rfam family "Eukaryotic small subunit ribosomal RNA", at positions 567 to 972 of the family's 1831-position model. The record is from RNAcentral.